Molecule: ribosomal RNA, 254 nt
Filed under: uncultured bacterium
Lineage: Bacteria
Description: partial 16S ribosomal RNA
Rfam family: Bacterial small subunit ribosomal RNA
Source: RNAcentral
UACGUAGGGGGCAAGCGUUGUCCGGAUUUAUUGGGCGUAAAGAGCGUGUAGGCGGCUAGAUAGGUCCGUUGUGAAAACUCGAGGCUCAACCUCGAGACGCCGAUGGAAACCAUCUAGCUAGAGUCCGGAAGAGGAGAAUGGAAUUCCUGGUGUAGCGGUGAAAUGCGCAGAUAUCAGGAAGAACACCCGUGGCUAAGGCGGUUCUCUAGUACGGUACUGACGCUGAGACGCGAAAGCGUGGGGGAGCGAACAGG